GUGUCAGCAGCCGCGGUAAUACAGAGGGUGCGAGCGUUGUUCGGAAUUACUGGGCGUAAAGCGCGCGCAGGCGGUCCUUUAAGUCUACCCGUGAAAUGCCGGAGCUCAACUCCGUGCACGCCGGGGGAUACUGGAGGACUGGAGACGAGUAGAGGCAAGCGGAAUUCCGGGUGUAGCGGUGGAAUGCGUAGAGAUCCGGAAGAACACCGGAGGCGAAGGCGGCUUGCUGGGCUUGGUCUGACGCUGAGGCGCGAAAGCGUGGGGAGCGAACAGGAUUAGAUACCCUGGUAGUCC
This 294-nucleotide ribosomal RNA is filed under the name uncultured bacterium. Its description in RNAcentral is "partial 16S ribosomal RNA". It matches the Rfam family "Bacterial small subunit ribosomal RNA", at positions 505 to 796 of the family's 1533-position model. The record is from RNAcentral.